RNAcentral lists this ribosomal RNA (253 nucleotides) under uncultured bacterium. Its description in RNAcentral is "partial 16S ribosomal RNA". It matches the Rfam family "Bacterial small subunit ribosomal RNA", at positions 524 to 776 of the family's 1533-position model. The record is from RNAcentral.
UACAGAGGGUGCGAGCGUUAAUCGGAAUUACUGGGCGUAAAGCGCACGUAGUCGGCUUUGCAAGUCGGGUGUGAAAUCCCCGGGCUCAACCUGGGAACUGCAUCCGAAACUGCCUUGCUCGAGUAUGGGAGAGGGAAGUGGAAUUUCCGGUGUAGCGGUGAAAUGCGUAGAUAUCGGAAGGAACAUCAGUGGCGAAGGCGACUUCCUGGACCAAUACUGACGCUCAGGUGCGAAAGCGUAGGGAGCAAACAGG